Molecule: ribosomal RNA, 468 nt
Filed under: uncultured bacterium
Lineage: Bacteria
Description: partial 16S ribosomal RNA
Rfam family: Bacterial small subunit ribosomal RNA
Source: RNAcentral
GACGAACGCUGGCGGCGUGCUUAACAAAUGCAAGUCAAACGGAAAGGCCCUGCUUUUGUGGGGUGCUCGAGUGGCGAACGGGUGAGUAACACGUGAGUAACCUGCCCUUGACUUUGGGAUAACUUCAGGAAACUGGGGCUAAUACCGGAUAGGAGCUCCUGCUGCAUGGGGGGGGUUGGAAAGUUUCGGCGGUUGGGGAUGGACUCGCGGCUUAUCAGCUUGUUGGUGGGGUAGUGGCUUACCAAGGCUUUGACGGGUAGCCGGCCUGAGAGGGUGACCGGCCACAUUGGGACUGAGAUACGGCCCAGACUCCUACGGGAGGCAGCAGUGGGGAAUAUUGCACAAUGGGCGGAAGCCUGAUGCAGCAACGCCGCGUGCGGGAUGACGGCCUUCGGGUUGUAAACCGCUUUCGCCUGUGACGAAGCGUGAGUGACGGUAAUGGGUAAAGAAGCACCGGCUAACUACGUG